UACGAAGGGGGCUAGCGUUGCUCGGAAUCACUGGGCGUAAAGCGCACGUAGGCGGCUUUUUAAGUCAGGGGUGAAAUCCUGGAGCUCAACUCCAGAACUGCCUUUGAUACUGAGAAGCUUGAGUCCGGGAGAGGUGAGUGGAACUGCGAGUGUAGAGGUGAAAUUCGUAGAUAUUCGCAAGAACACCAGUGGCGAAGGCGGCUCACUGGCCCGGUACUGACGCUGAGGUGCGAAAGCUAGGGUAGCAAACGGG
Molecule: ribosomal RNA, 253 nt
Filed under: uncultured bacterium
Lineage: Bacteria
Description: partial 16S ribosomal RNA
Rfam family: Bacterial small subunit ribosomal RNA
Source: RNAcentral